Molecule: ribosomal RNA, 472 nt
Filed under: uncultured bacterium
Lineage: Bacteria
Description: SSU rRNA
Rfam family: Bacterial small subunit ribosomal RNA
Source: RNAcentral
AGGACGAACGCUGGCGGCGCGCCUAACACAUGCAAGUCGAGCGAUAACCAGGGCUUGCCCUGGGGACAGCGGCGAACGGGUGCGUAACACGUGAGCAACCUGCCCCAAAGACCGGGACAACCCGAGGAAAACUCGGACUAAUACCGGAUGCCCUCACCGGGCCGCAUGGUCUGGUGAGGAAAUGGAUUCCGCUUUGGGAUGGGCUCGCGGUCUAUCAGCUUGUUGGUGGGGUAACGGCCUACCAAGGCGACGACGGAUAGCUGGUCUGAGAGGACGAUCAGCCACACUGGGACUGAGACACGGCCCAGACUCCUACGGGAGGCAGCAGUGGGGAAUCUUGCGCAAUGGGGGAAACCCUGACGCAGCGACGCCGCGUGCGGGAUGAAGGCCUUCGGGUUGUAAACCGCUUUCAGCAGGGACGAAUUGACGGUACCUGCAGAAGAAGGCCCGGCAACUACGCGCCAGCAGCCGC